UCAUGAAGAGCUAAAACUGAUUUUACCAUAAUUUAGUGAACCUGGUUUUGAACGUGGAAACCAAUGAAGUGGUGAAACCGUAUGACGAUGGCCCCCACAGCAACGCGACAGUCGGCGACGAUGGCCCCCACAGCAACGCGACAGUCGGCGACGAUGGCCCCCACAGCAACGCGACAGUCGGCGACGAUGGCCCCCACAGCAACGCGACAGUCGGCGACGAUGGCCCCCACAGCAACGCGACAGUCGGCGACGAUUAAAUGUGUACUCCCAGUUUUGAAACCCUUUGGAGUUGAGUGGUGUUUCUGUCUGUCCCUGUAAUGGUCUGGAGACCUGAGAGGCUUCAGCCUCACCCUUGACCCUGAUUGGGAACAAGGGGGAUUGUAAUGGAUGGAUUACUCAUAGCAAUUAUAUUCAAAAUUAUAUAUCCUCUAUUUGUUUGUUCAGUAGCUACUGUGUAAAUGGUGCUAAAUGGUAAAUUAGCCAGAACAAUUGAUUUGAGGCUUGUAAAGCUGAGCAGCAAAAUGCAUUUGAGUAAAAAAAGGAAAUGUAAUAAUUUUAUUUAUUUUAAAAUACUUACCUGUUGGCCUCAGAUUGUGAUCCGAGUGAAGAACCUGGUCGUUAAGCAGGUUGAAGCUAUUGCUGUUAGCUAUGUAGCUAGUAUAUAGCUGAUAGCUAACUACUAGCGAACUUGGUAAUACCAGGGUUCGAACCUACUCCGUUAGUAACACGAACAUGCGUGUCUUACGUGUUGUGCUACAGAAGAGGCUGCCACAAUCGACAGGGUAAGGUGGAGAAUUUAUGUGUGACAGUCAUGUCGCAGCUGUUUUUCAGUCACGUGGUUUCGAAGGCGGAGCGAAUCGCUGUCCACUGUCUGGAGCGCAGGGCACGUGAACACGGCUCCACAUAACACCGCCUGAAGCGAUCACUGCAUCACAGGUGAGUUGCUGUAAAUGUAGUUUUAUUGGGAGCAGCACCCACAGAGACUCAAACUGCAGACGGAAAAAGAGGGACUAUGUGAAACACACGGCUGAUGAUGACAGUCAUUCUUUAGCCUUCAAGAUAAGCGACAAUGUUGGACAAUGUUUGAAAGAAAGAGGUCCGAUGGUCGACACAGGCGCCACAUCCCACAUCAUCACCAGUAUUGAGAAGUUCAGAAGCUUUGAUGACACCUUCCUACUGGAAAAGCAUUUCAUGGAGCUGUCUGACGGAAAGUGAACAAGUGGCGUGGCACUGAAGAGAGGAGACGCAGUGGUCUGCCUGCGGGACAUUGAGGGCCGUCAUGUGACGACACUCUACAUCCCUACAUUCCCACAAGACAUCUUCUCUGUCAAAGCUGCGAUCACCAGCGGAGCCAACGUCCACUUCAAGGAGGGAAUCAACCACAAGGACAGUACCAGGUUUGACAUUAAAAAGUAUGAGAGACUGUACUGUCUGAACACUGUAAGUGAGAUGAGUGAUGAGGAUGAGUGUUGUUAUGGGUGUUUUGAUUUUCAAACAUGGCAUGAGAUCCUUGGUCACUGUAAUUAUGAUGUUUUAAAGUUAGAGAAUGUAACCAAAGGAAUGAACAUCAAAGGUAAAACUGAUAAAUCUAAACUGUAUUGUGAAACAUGUGUACGAGGAAAGUUUAUUCAGAGUAGAAACCGGGAGCCUGAUAUAAGAGCUAAAGAAGCAUUGGAGCUUGUACACACAGAUCUUGCUGGCCCUAUAAGUCCAGAGGCCAAAGACGGGUUUAAGUAUGCAUCAGCCUUUACAGAUGACUAUUCAGGCACAAUGUUUGUUUAUUUCCUGACAACUAAAAAUGACACUGUUAAAGCCA
Molecule: long non-coding RNA, 1816 nt
Organism: Austrofundulus limnaeus
Lineage: Eukaryota; Metazoa; Chordata; Actinopteri; Cyprinodontiformes; Rivulidae
Exons: 2
Source: RefSeq, a predicted model, not a curated record